AUCGAUGAAGGCCUUAGGGUUGUAAAGAUCUUUCAGUGGGGAAGAUAAUGACGGUACCCACAGAAGAAGCCCCGGCUAACUCCGUGCCAGCAGCCGCGGUAAUACGGAGGGGGCUAGCGUUAUUCGGAAUUACUGGGCGUAAAGCGCACGUAGGCGGAUCGGAAAGUUGGGGGUGAAAUCC
Molecule: ribosomal RNA, 181 nt
Filed under: uncultured soil bacterium
Lineage: Bacteria
Description: partial 16S ribosomal RNA
Rfam family: Bacterial small subunit ribosomal RNA
Source: RNAcentral